This 71-nucleotide transfer RNA is filed under the name Marmota monax (woodchuck). RNAcentral describes it as "tRNA.Ala". It matches the Rfam family "tRNA". Rfam says of the family: Transfer RNA (tRNA) molecules are approximately 80 nucleotides in length. Their secondary structure includes four short double-helical elements and three loops (D, anti-codon, and T loops). Lineage: Eukaryota; Metazoa; Chordata; Mammalia; Rodentia; Sciuridae. The record is from RNAcentral.
GAGGUUGUAGCUCAGAGGUAGAGCACUUGCCUAGCAUGUGUGAGGCACUGGGUUCAAUCCUCAGCACCACA